RNAcentral lists this unclassified non-coding RNA (279 nucleotides) under plant metagenome. RNAcentral describes it as "partial contains small subunit ribosomal RNA, internal transcribed spacer 1, and 5.8S ribosomal RNA". The record is from RNAcentral.
UUUCCGUAGGUGAACCUGCGGAAGGACCAUUAUAGUAUAACCGAGGUGCGAGGGCUGUCGCGGAGUAGAAAGGUUGUGCACGCUCGAGUGCCCACCCACGCGACAAUUUUACCACUUUGUGCAGCACCGCGUGGGUCCUUCUUUCGUGCGACCGGAGGGGGGCUUACGGUUCGACACAAACUUUGUAGGCAUUGUAGCAUGUAAAUGUGGUUUUUGCCAGCACGCAAGCAAUACAAAUUACAACAACGGAUAUCUUGGCCAAUGCAUCGAUGAAUAAUG